CGUUGCCUGCUGGAGGAACUGGGGACUUAACUAAUUCAGCCUGCUUUCAUUCAAGUGUGCCAGACGGCAGGCGCAUACACAUCCAGAGACUCCCCUUUUCUCUUUGGCGCUUAUAAGAAAAAGGCAUCUGCAACUGCACUCCAACUCAUAGAUGGCACCUGGCAUUCUAAAUAACUAAUAGAAGGUUCUGCUCUGCUUUUCUGGAAAGGGCUGACUCUUCACGAAGAUGAAAGAGAAGGCAUACUUUGCAUGAGCAUAGUUCUGCUUCUCUGGCAAAACAAAGCUUUCAAUCUAUUUUCCAGAUACUCCAGAGAUGUUCCUGAACAAGUUGUCUGUCCGUGAAAGCUUUAAAGGUAAUACUUAAACGGCCAACCAGAGCCAGGAAAGGAAAAUAAGUCUGUUGAAGAAUCUUAGAAGCCAAAUCUUCUGAACCUAGGCCUACUGCUAUGAGCAUCUCUAAGACCUCCUCCAUCUGAGAAUUACCGGGUCCAACAGCAUUUCCCCUCCAACCUACAGUGAGGGACAUCAAGAAGGCUGUAGAAAAUUCAUGUCCUCUAGACUUACAGCCCUUAAGCUAUGCAGUUGGGCAAGAACUUUCGUCUCCAUCCUUAGGGACGAUUCAGAAAGACAGACAAGUAGGGGUGAAAACUCAGACAUAAUGACCCAGAAAUAUGUAAAUGCCUUUAGAAGGUCUCCUCACCGAAACACCCAAUUACAUUCAUGUAAUUAGUCCACACAUACAGACAGGCCGUAGAUAAGAGGGAUCCCUUUUUCCCCUCUACCAAAAUAGAGUAAAAGUCUGAUAUGAUACUCUAAGAGACUCUUGUCCCCAUUCCAGUAUUAUAAAGCAGUUUCACCACACUUAAUCAGUAUAAGAGUAGCAGAGUGAGAAAUAAAGCUUUACUUCUAGA
This is a long non-coding RNA of Chinchilla lanigera (long-tailed chinchilla), 911 nucleotides long. RefSeq lists it as uncharacterized. The record is from RefSeq and is a predicted model, not a curated record. Lineage: Eukaryota; Metazoa; Chordata; Mammalia; Rodentia; Chinchillidae. The transcript is spliced from 2 exons.